Molecule: small RNA, 845 nt
Filed under: Pan troglodytes (chimpanzee)
Lineage: Eukaryota; Metazoa; Chordata; Mammalia; Primates; Hominidae
Description: processed transcript
Source: RNAcentral
CAAGACGCAGGCGCAACCCACGGCUGCUGCAGGGAUCCUUGUGGCCCUUCCGGUCGGUGGAACCAAUCCGUGCACAGAGAAGCGGGGCGAACUGAGGCGAGUGAAGUGGACUCUGAGGGCUACCGCUACCGCCACUGCUGCGGCAGGGGCGUGGAGGGCAGAGGGCCGCGGAGGCCGCAGUUGCAAACAUGGCUCAGAGCAGAGACGGCGGAAACCCGUUCGCCGAGCCCAGCGAGCUUGACAACCCCUUUCAGGUGACUUGCGCCGGUCGGCCUCUUUUGGGCGGUCAGGUUGAUUCUUCCCGGUUCUGUAGGGUCGGGCUAACUUGUAUCCCCAUUUGUGACAUUUGAUCCUGGGAAGAGCCGCCACGUGGGGUGACAGUGACUCCAGACCAGACCCAGCUGUGAUCCAGCACCGACCCAGCCGGCAGUAUGCCACGCUUGACGUCUACAACCCUUUUGAGACCCGGGAGCCACCACCAGCCUAUGAGCCUCCAGCCCCUGCCCCAUUGCCUCCACCCUCAGCUCCCUCCUUGCAGCCCUCGAGAAAGCUCAGCCCCACAGAACCUAAGAACUAUGGCUCAUACAGCACUCAGGCCUCAGCUGCAGCAGCCACAGCUGAGCUGCUGAAGAAACAGGAGGAGCUCAACCGGAAGGCAGAGGAGUUGGACCGAAGGGAGCGAGAGCUGCAGCAUGCUGCCCUGGGGGGCACAGCUACUCGACAGAACAAUUGGCCCCCUCUACCUUCUUUUUGUCCAGUUCAGCCCUGCUUUUUCCAGGACAUCUCCAUGGAGAUCCCCCAAGAAUUUCAGAAGACUGUAUCCACCAUGUACUACCUCUGGAUGU